UACAGAGGUCCCAAGCGUUGUUCGGAUUCACUGGGCGUAAAGGGUGCGUAGGCGGCUUGAUAAGUCUGAUGUGAAAUCCCGCAGCUUAACUGCGGAACUGCAUUGGAAACUAUUUGACUAGAGGAAUGGAGGGGAGACUGGAAUACUUGGUGUAGCAGUGAAAUGCGUAGAUAUCAAGUGGAACACCAGUGGCGAAGGCGAGUCUCUGGACAGUUCCUGACGCUGAGGCACGAAGGCCAGGGGAGCAAACGGG
This 253-nucleotide ribosomal RNA is filed under the name uncultured bacterium. RNAcentral's name for it is "partial 16S ribosomal RNA". It matches the Rfam family "Bacterial small subunit ribosomal RNA", at positions 524 to 776 of the family's 1533-position model. The record is from RNAcentral.